AUCAUCCGAGGGGGCAACGGCCUGGCGGGCUGGUAGCUGGAUAGGGAGGGAGGAGCUAUCUAGCUCGUUCUUCCUGCUGCUUCCCCCCAUCUCCCCUUUGCUCCCACCCAUCGGCAGAGCCUGCCUCCCUCGACCCGCCUCCUCUCCCCCGCCUCCCCACCUGAAGGAGGACCUCGUUUUCCCUGCCCAGGGACGGACUGCCUGGCGGCCGCGGGCUCCCAAAAAGUGCGGGGGCUGUGCCGCCGCCUGGAGAAGCAGCUAGGCAGCUGUCGGAGCUGGAGUGCUCGAGCGGGGGCAACUCGAGGGCAGGCGGGUCCUUGACGCCUACUCUCCGCCCCCAUCCUCCUCUUCUUUCUCUGCUCGGACCCACCUGCCGGGCCUUUGCCGCAUGGCGCUGUCCGGGGGAGCCGUGGCGCUGCCUCCUCCUCCUUUUUCUUCUCCUCCUCUUCCUCCUCCUCCUCUUCCUCCUCGGGAUGCUGCAGUUCGCCGGGUGCGGGUCUUCGGCUGCUGGUAGCAGCGGCAGCAGUGUCCUAGGCAGCAGCGUCCGAGGCAGCGGCAUCCGAGGCAACGGCAGCUGCAUCCCAGGCAGUAGCGUCUCCAGGAGACCGCACGGCUUCCCAGAGCUUCACUGACUCGCUUCCCCUGAGCGAGGUGUCUCCGGGUGCUCGGGCAGUGCGCGGGCUGGGAUACAGGCCACUUCAGCUGGAGAAAGGAGAAGCCUAGGGCAGUCCAAGGGCUCUCUGUGAAUGGAUCCGAGGGGUUCCAAGAGCGUAGCGGCGGCCCCGGGGACCGGGGAGCUUUGAGUGCGGAGAAUGUGCCCCGGCCAGGCGACCGCGCCUGGGAGGAGGACCAGACUCCUGAGUCCAGCUUGGCAACUCACACACUAACUCGACUGGGUCCAACUUCCCGGCUCCGGCUCCGGCUCCUACGCAGCCGGAGCCCUGCUCUAUGGCCGCAGCGGGCUGCGUGGACCCCGCGGCGCCGCAGGUAGGUGAGCUUGGGGGUUCCCUCCCCCACUCAUUCCGCUCUUUUUCCUGUUCCCCUCCCCCCACUCUGUUUUUUCUUGCCCCUCUUCCCCUAUUCUUUCUCGCCGCUGGGGCCGCAGAAGGCGCGCAGGGAUUAGGGGGACUUGUUUGGGGUGCACUGCCAGAACGUGUCGUUGGGCUCAUCUUGCGGGACACAGACGUGGGGCUGAGGCCGCGGGUAUUACACCAAGGGAAGGAAGAACGUCUGGAACUCUGGCCCCUCUGCCCAGAGCAAGCAGUAAACCUCGAGAUUUCUGUUCAGAGACAUGCUCACUGUCCACAAGCAUUUGAAGUGACUCGACAUUCAGGAUAAGUGGUAAAAAUAUGAAUUUAU
Molecule: long non-coding RNA, 1359 nt
Filed under: Sarcophilus harrisii (Tasmanian devil)
Lineage: Eukaryota; Metazoa; Chordata; Mammalia; Dasyuromorphia; Dasyuridae
Description: lncRNA (ENSSHAG00000029167.1)
Source: RNAcentral